UAGGGAAUCUUCCGCAAUGGGCGAAAGCCUGACGGAGCAACGCCGCGUGAGUGAAGAAGGAUUUCGGUUCGUAAAGCUCUGUUGUUAGGGAAGAAUGAUUAUGUAGUAACUAUACAUAGUAGAGACGGUACCUAACCAGAAAGCCACGGCUAACUACGUGCCAGCAGCCGCGGUAAUACGUAGGUGGCAAGCGUUGUCCGGAAUUAUUGGGCGUAAAGCGCGCGCAGGUGGUUUAAUAAGUCUGAUGUGAAAGCCCACGGCUCAACCGUGGAGGGUCAUUGGAAACUGUUAAACUUGAGUGCAGGAGAGAAAAGUGGAAUUCCUAGUGUAGCGGUGAAAUGCGUAGAGAUUAGGAGGAACACCAGUGGCGAAGGCGGCUUUUUGGCCUGUAACUGACACUGAGGCGCGAAAGCGUGGGGAGCGAACAGGAUUAGAUACCCUGGUAGUCCACGCCGUAAACGAUGAGUGCUAAGUGUUGGUCUCAUAAGAGAUCAGUGCUGCAGCUAACGCAUUAAGCACUCCGCCUGGGGAGUACGACCGCAAGGUUG
This 548-nucleotide ribosomal RNA is filed under the name uncultured bacterium. RNAcentral's name for it is "bacterial SSU rRNA". It matches the Rfam family "Bacterial small subunit ribosomal RNA", at positions 355 to 896 of the family's 1533-position model. The record is from RNAcentral.